UGGGCUUGAAGAUUAGCUUAGA
RNAcentral lists this microRNA (22 nucleotides) under Ixodes scapularis (black-legged tick). RNAcentral describes it as "Isc-Mir-5305_3p (mature (guide))". Lineage: Eukaryota; Metazoa; Arthropoda; Arachnida; Ixodida; Ixodidae. The record is from RNAcentral.